Molecule: transfer RNA, 68 nt
Filed under: Marmota monax (woodchuck)
Lineage: Eukaryota; Metazoa; Chordata; Mammalia; Rodentia; Sciuridae
Description: tRNA.Ala
Source: RNAcentral
GGACUGUAGCUCAGUGGCAAAGAGCUUGCCUAGCAUACAUGAGGCACUGGGUUCAAUCCUCAGCACCA